GAUGAACGCUAGCUACAGGCUUAACACAUGCAAGUCGAGGGGCAGCGGGAUUGAAGCUUGCUUCAAUUGCCGGCGACCGGCGCACGGGUGAGUAACGCGUAUCCAACCUUCCGUACACUCAGGGAUAGCCUUUCGAAAGAAAGAUUAAUACCUGAUGGUAUGAUGAGAUUGCAUGAUAUCAUCAUUAAAGAUUUAUCGGUGUACGAUGGGGAUGCGUUCCAUUAGGUAGUAGGCGGGGUAACGGCCCACCUAGCCAACGAUGGAUAGGGGUUCUGAGAGGAAGGUCCCCCACAUUGGAACUGAGACACGGUCCAAACGCCUACGGGAGGCAGCAGUGAGGAAUAUUGGUCAAUGGACGAGAGUCUGAACCAGCCAAGUAGCGUGAAGGAUGAAGGUCCUACGGAUUGUAAACUUCUUUUAUAAGGGAAUAAACCCUCCCACGUGUGGGAGCUUGUAUGUACCUUAUGAAUAAGCAUCGGCUAACUCCGUG
RNAcentral lists this ribosomal RNA (490 nucleotides) under uncultured bacterium. RNAcentral's name for it is "partial 16S ribosomal RNA". It matches the Rfam family "Bacterial small subunit ribosomal RNA", at positions 28 to 507 of the family's 1533-position model. The record is from RNAcentral.